This 1340-nucleotide ribosomal RNA is filed under the name uncultured bacterium. RNAcentral describes it as "partial 16S ribosomal RNA". It matches the Rfam family "Bacterial small subunit ribosomal RNA", at positions 28 to 1380 of the family's 1533-position model. The record is from RNAcentral.
GACGAACGCUGGCGGCGUGCUUAACACAUGCAAGCCGAACGGUAAGGCUCCAGCUUGCUGGGGUACACGAGUGGCGAACGGGUGAGUAACACGUGGGUGACCUGCCCUGCACUUCGGGAUAAGCCUGGGAAACUGGGUCUAAUACCGGAUAGGACCGCACCGUGAGGGUGUGGUGGAAAGUUUUUUCGGUGUGGGAUGGGCCCGCGGCCUAUCAGCUUGUUGGUGGGGUAAUGGCCUACCAAGGCGGCGACGGGUAGCCGGCCUGAGAGGGUGGACGGCCACAUUGGGACUGAGACACGGCCCAGACUCCUACGGGAGGCAGCAGUAGGGAAUAUUGCACAAUGGGCGGAAGCCUGAUGCAGCGACGCCGCGUGGGGGAUGACGGCCUUCGGGUUGUAAACUCCUUUCACCAUUGACGAAGGGUUUCUGACGGUAGACGGAGAAGAAGCACCGGCUAACUACGUGCCAGCAGCCGCGGUAAUACGUAGGGUGCGAGCGUUGUCCGGAAUUACUGGGCGUAAAGAGCUCGUAGGUGGUUUGUCGCGUCGUCUGUGAAAUUCCGGGGCUUAACUCCGGGCGUGCAGGCGAUACGGGCAUAACUUGAGUACUGUAGGGGAGACUGGAAUUCCUGGUGUAGCGGUGAAAUGCGCAGAUAUCAGGAGGAACACCGGUGGCGAAGGCGGGUCUCUGGGCAGUAACUGACGCUGAGGAGCGAAAGCAUGGGGAGCGAACAGGAUUAGAUACCCUGGUAGUCCAUGCCGUAAACGGUGGGCGCUAGGUGUGGGUUUCCUUCCACGGGAUCCGUGCCGUAGCUAACGCAUUAAGCGCCCCGCCUGGGGAGUACGGCCGCAAGGCUAAAACUCAAAGGAAUUGACGGGGGCCCGCACAAGCGGCGGAGCAUGUGGAUUAAUUCGAUGCAACGCGAAGAACCUUACCUGGGCUUGACAUAUACAGGAUCGCGCCAGAGAUGGUGUUUCCCUUGUGGCUUGUAUACAGGUGGUGCAUGGUUGUCGUCAGCUCGUGUCGUGAGAUGUUGGGUUAAGUCCCGCAACGAGCGCAACCCUUGUCUUAUGUUGCCAGCACGUUGUGGUGGGGACUCGUAAGAAACUGCCGGGGUUAACUCGGAGGAAGGUGGGGAUGACGUCAAAUCAUCAUGCCCCUUAUGUCCAGGGCUUCACACAUGCUACAAUGGUCGGUACAGUGGGUUGCCAGUCCGUGAGGGCGAGCUAAUCCCGCAAAGCCGGUCUCAGUUCGGAUCGGGGUCUGCAACUCGACCCCGUGAAGUCGGAGUCGCUAGUAAUCGCAGAUCAGCAACGCUGCGGUGAAUACGUUCCCGGGCC